GGCCUAACACAUGCAAGUCGAGCGGUAACAUGGUUAGUAGCAAUACUAACUGAUGACGAGCGGCGGACGGGUGAGGAACACGUAGGAACCUUCCCAGAAGCGGGGGACAACCAAGGGAAACUUUGGCUAAUACCGCGUAAUCUCGAGAGAGGAAAGCUGCCCGCAAGGGUGGCGCUUUUGGAGGGGCCUGCGUCCGAUUAGCUAGUUGGUGGGGUAAGAGCCCACCAGGCGAUGAUCGGUAACUGGUCUGAGAGGACGGCCAGUCACACUGGGACUGAGACACGGCCCAGACUCCUACGGGAGGCAGCAGUGGGGAAUAUUGGACAAUGGGGGCAACCCUGAUCCAGCGAUGCCGCGUGAGUGAAGAAGGCCCUCGGGUCGUAAAGCUCUUUAGGUUGGGAAGAAGUGUGUGCAGCGAAUAACUGUGCACAUUGACUGUACCGACAGAAU
RNAcentral lists this ribosomal RNA (450 nucleotides) under uncultured bacterium. RNAcentral's name for it is "bacterial SSU rRNA". It matches the Rfam family "Bacterial small subunit ribosomal RNA", at positions 45 to 487 of the family's 1533-position model. The record is from RNAcentral.